CCUCUUUUCAAAUCAAGUCAAAUCUUUUAGUUUGCAUCAAAAAGAUGUUCUACUAUGAAGGUAGUACCCACUUUUUCAGGUUGACUUGUUUUCUUUUUGUUCCGCCGGUUUUCCCCCAACGAAGUAAUCUUUCUGGAAUUGGUAGGGAUUUGACUCAGAGUUCUUUGUCCUUGGGCUCAAGCAUGACAACUAUUAAAAUCGGUAGCCGGAGGAACCCGAAUCGUCUUCUCCACGAUCGUGUGCUUGUGCUCAGUCGCGGCGUUAAAUGAAGAGCCGCACUUUUCCGCUCAAUUCAACAAAAUGCCGCAUUUCCUGCACCUACGUACGUGCUCGGCCAGCUCUACAGGCAGAUAUAUGAUACAGCGAAAGCGAGAGAGAAAGAGCGGCAGCACUCGAGAGUCGUGGCGCAAGCAAGAUGGAGCAUAUGCGGAGAUUAUGUAUGCAGCAAUGCAUGAAGUUUAAAAAGUUUCAAGCACAUAAGCCACAAUGGCCACGUCUCUCCAGGCUUGACAUUUAUUAUCUGCCGGUUUGGCCCCAAAAUGAAGUUGUGGCCGCUUUCGUCUUCCAAACGUUGUCGCAUACGCACAUCAAGACACACACACAUAUGUGGAGAGAGACGUGAAGCAACAAGGGGCAGUGGGGCCCAGGGGAGCUGACAUCCCGUCGCUGCUCGUUUGCGGUCGACGUCAUCGUCGACGGCAUUUGCAUGCCCGGCUGGCCAUUUAACGUGUCCGUGUCCGUGUCGUUGAGUUGGAGGUGUAGAGGCGUGGUCGUGGCCCUUUGAUUUCGUUAGGCGAAACUCGGCGACUCCUACGCUCCUUUCCUGCUCGACCCGCUCCUAUGUGACGCCGCCCAUUACAGAGUCCGCACACGUUUUUCGUAAAUGUGCAUUUUUCGCUAAAUGUUUUGUAAAUGUUUCCGUUCCCAACUUUAUAAUUAGUUGGCAUGAGGGCGGCGCUAAAGAAAACGCAGCGUCGCAUCGCAUCGCAUCGCAUCGCGUCGCGUUGCGACGCAUUGCAGCGCAGCAGGAAACGGAAAAACGAGAGAAAGCACUGCGGAUAUUAUGUAAGUUAAGCGGCUGACACAUUCAGCAGGGUCGAGGGUCCAUAGAACCCAGCAAAUGUCGACCCAAUGUAGCACCAUGUCUGUUGCAAGCCAAGUGCAGCUCUACCGCCAGCUCCAGCUUAGACAUGCAGAUAAGUGCAUGCAUAGACUACAGAGAGACGUGACUAAUAUGACGGCCCGAGAAACUCGCAUCUCUAAUAGAUAAUAUUGCGCGGCACAGCUGACUUGGAUGCUUUCAGAUUAAUAUAUGACUGUAUGCAAGAAAUAUCUCCAACAAAAAGUUCUAUACUGAAAAUGUUCUAAAACCGAUUUCUUUAGUUGGUUAGUGAAUCGAAAAAGAAGUUCUGUAUUUCAAAUUUAGGAAAAUUUGUAUUGAAAGUGUUCAACAAUUAACUGGAA
Non-coding RNA from Drosophila virilis, 1464 nucleotides. Lineage: Eukaryota; Metazoa; Arthropoda; Insecta; Diptera; Drosophilidae. The record is from RefSeq and is a predicted model, not a curated record.